Molecule: long non-coding RNA, 1274 nt
Organism: Topomyia yanbarensis
Lineage: Eukaryota; Metazoa; Arthropoda; Insecta; Diptera; Culicidae
Exons: 3
Source: RefSeq, a predicted model, not a curated record
CUGUAAAAUUGUGUACAAUUUUAAUGAAAAUGCCAGAAAAAUUUCAUUUGUGACAUAGAAGCUGUGAUUAAAAAUGAUAAAAUAAAUCUUUGAUGUUAUAGCAAUAUCUGUAAAAGUGGCAACCCUGGCGUGAAGGUUAUGAAAUGUAAAUAUAAACAAACGUCAAAAACAUUCGCAGCAUAAAAUAAUUUUCUUUCGUCGGCCUUGUUAGUUGAACUGCGUCUAGAGAAUGGACUCUUCUCGUCGUAGCCAUUUACUGCGGGAAAAACAGUCAGUUCAACUUAUAUUCUGAACUCGAAUGGCGAUUUCAGAAUGACUUUUUCCUCUGCUACGGGCGCAUUAGAAGAUGCGUGGAGCACCUACCUGCAUCGUCAAUGGCCAGUUAAUUAAGAUAUCAGUUGGUUAUUUCCUGCUCAAUAAAAACGAGUCAUUUGUUGCAUUGGUGGUGUGAUGACGGACUUAUAUUUUCGCUCUACGAUCAGCGCUCGCUCGUUCAGAACAAUAACAUUGAAGAGAUGUUGUUGGUGGCUCUGAAGAUCUUUCCACGUGAUGUCAAAAUUUUAAUUGUAGAAGCAGUGGAAAAUAUAUGUUUAAAUUUGGUUGAUUGCUAUUUGAUUUAUGAAAUGCAGAUCUCCUUCUUAAGUACAAAACAAUCACCCACGAAGUCUAUUUUUAUUAUGAUGGCUAAAUGAAUUAUCUGCUACAGAAUGUUGAUGGAGCUUGACCUGCGAAUCUUUUUCUGAGUGCAGAAUACUACGGUGUAACCAAUGUCGUUUGGCUAUAAUCACGAGCAUAAUCAUGUAGGGUAGACGAACCCAUAUUUAUCUCAUUAGUCAGAAUGUCACACUAUUUCGAAUGUAACUCGGCUUACAGUGAUUGGAUUGCGUUUAAAUAGGUAUCAGCGUGCUUGCUUCGUUCUUAAGAAGCAGUAACAUAAAAAUUCUGGUUUUGAAAAUGUAAAAUACUCGCGUUUGAGCGAAGUGAAAAGUCAAGUACAACGCACCCCCAUUCAUCCUACCAUUUGACCUAAUGCGUUGAAUAGAGAGAGAGCAGACAAUGCUCCAACUAAUGUAUUCAAAUGGGUGGGAUGAAAAUAGGAGCUAACAUGAAUUAGGGCACAGUAACCCUACUUGUGCAAAUGUAAUAUGUGAAAUGAAAGACUAACCUUUUCUAAGUAGCAAACCAAUUGAGCACUAGAUGAUGAGAAAUCAGGUCUUUGCAACUAUUGUUUGAAAAUAGAAACUUGAAUUGAAGUGUGGUUUAAAAAUAAAUUU